ACAGGUUUCUUGAAAAAAGGUAAUUUUGUGUAAUUCAAGCAAAGGGAGCAACUUGUGCUGGUGGAGGAUUUGUUCUGUGACCCUUCUCUUCUCUGCACUGCUUUUCUUCCCCUCCUCUUCCUCCUUAAUCCCCGUCUUUCUUGCAUUCCACUUUUUAUCCUGAUCUUCAAGGGCCAACACAAAAUGCUCAGGAAGCUGCCUGGAUUUGCAUUUAGCACAUUUGAAUAUUUAACAUAUUUAGGGCUGAAUUAAAGCAAAGGGAGAUAAAAUUUGGAACAGACCAAAGAUGAUGUGUGUGUGUGCAUGUACAAAGGAAUAAAGGCAAUGUUUGCAGAUACACAGGGAAAAUAAAACAUGGCAAAGAAGACACAAAGAGCCUGGUCCCUUUUUGUUGUUGUAUCAAGCACACUGUGACUAAUGGCAAUAUUUUUUUUUUCCCAUCAGUACCAUAAUAGAAGAAUAAAACUAAUUGUCAUCUGCCACCCACUGGUUGUAAAACAGCUUCUCUUAGAUAGUUCUUACGUAUUCAGUUCAGCUGUCAAAAGGAGCUGCUUUUUUCAUGGUCUGCAAAAUGCAUUUCUGUAUGAACACAGCUCGAUGCAAAGGUCACCCCAUCAAAAAUGUUUUCCCUCAGUAGUGAAUAUAAUGGCAAAAAAGGGGCAUUUUGCAGUCUAUUCUGACGAUUUUACUUGAUAUUUCUUAAAUGGUAGACAGCUGGAGAUUAAAUUCCCUUUGACGGGCAGAAUUUGAGGGACAAUGUUUUGUAGUCUAAUCUGGGUUCCCCCUCCUCUCUCCCAUGCUGUGGUAUGGGCUCUUUAAUGGGUACUUAUGACAGGUAGUAUGAGCCCUAAAAAGAGCAGGCGACAGAAGAAAAUCACCCGUUGUUUUUCAGAUUGGCUAUUGUUCCUUAGGAUAUUAGUAUGUGUUCCUGUGUGUGCUGGUGUUUUAAUGGUAGUUUGGUUCCUGGAUGCUUAAAUUACUCUCCCUGUCAGUGUUUCCAUUUACUUGACAGAUUCCAAAUAUGAAAAGGCUUUGGGAGCCAGCCUACAGAGUGAGGGGGACCACCACAACUCUAAAUAUCACUGCAGACGGUAGACAGAGGAAGGGUUCCUGCUAAUGCUUCCCUGGGAGAUCUGGGGUAAAGUGGUGUGAGUUUACAUUCCAGGUGUACUGGUGCAGCCUGCUCUGUGUGUGCUCCCACCCCGCUUGUAACGGAGCUGGUGGGCAAAAGAAGUCUGACUGUCUUCUGCUGGCUGGCUGAAAGUGAGUGUUACAUCUUUAAGGAUAUGACUUGUACACCUCACCCACGUGUUUACAACAGCUUUGCUAUGUUUUGGAGUCGCAGAGGGAGAGUUUGGAGAAGGCUUCACUCCCUCUGAGAGGAAAUGGUUUCUGCUGUCGUGCUGCCUGGAUUAACACACGGUGACUCUUGCCCAAGGGACUGUGUGCAAUGACAACUGUGGCUCUGCAUCAGCUCCUACCAAAUGCAUGUCAAAUGAUCUUCCAACAAUGGCAAAAGGAAGCUCAGGAUAGCUGAGAACGUAACCCCAGCUGUUGUCCCUCUCCCUUAGAAGGAGGAACAUGUAUUUCAAAGAGACAUUUCUUAUCAUUUCAUCUGUAGUUCGAUUGUGUGCAUUGAUUCAGGCUUCACUCUGCUUAUGUGCACAGAGAUCUUAAAGAAAAAUAUAAAAUGCAAGCACAAAUGGUACUAAGCCUUGAGAUUUAAGGCUUGCCACAAAAGGCAGUCCUCAGGAGAUGUUCAUAUUAUAAUGGUGGUGAGUGAUCAAGGGUAGGUCACUCUCAACAGACAGGAGGUUGUACUGCCUUGAGGAUGGAUGAGUGGUGUCAAUCUGCAGGGAGAACCCCACCUUGCCUCAAUGAAAGGAAUGUAGUGUCACAGUAGUGUGGUGUGGUGGGAUGGGCAGACCCUGUCCUUGAAUUUGAGUGAGCACAGCCAGGGCAUAACAACAGUGUGGAGAUCCGAAGCAUUAGCCUUCAGCUGCGGCCCUCGGUGCAGAUUGAACCUGGAGUGUCUGAAUCAAUAAGCCUGGGCUGUUGGUGUUUGAUCUGUUAAUGAGGAGCAGUAACGGAUGGAGACUUCUGUUGAGCCAGCUUCUGAGACAGCAAGGGGCAGCUGGAAUGAUGUAGAUCACACAUUACCUGCAUGGGGAUACUGUCCAGUAAACCCCGAACAACUUCUCUGGUGGUAGGAGUGUUGCUUUUUCUCAGCCACCUAUCACAAUUGAGAACUUCCAAGUCUCUCCAGGCAUUAAUCUUCUCUUAAAUGUUAGAUUUCCCUUUUUUUAAAGGGCAGCUGUACCACAUGUAAAUUAUUUUAGUUCCAAGUGUUCUCUGACUGCAGCAGAACCUGCUUUGUUCUGUUGUGCUAGCAAAAACGUAGUGACAGGGAUGGGUGUUGAAGCCCCAUGCUGAAUUAACUGGCCUGGAAUUAAGCAGAGGAUGUCUUGCAAGGGCGUUCCAGCUGGGGAAGACCACUCAGUCUGGUCUCUUCUUGCUUCUACGCUUUUGUGCAGUCCGGAGAGCUCUUCUGCCUUAACUUGUGUUGUUCGUGGCUGAGUAACGGGCGGGGUGAAGAAGUCCUUACUUUGCCCCUUCGUGGGUGACAGUGCCACGAGGUGGCAGUGGCCACCAAAUAAUGUCUGGCCAGACGCACAAGGUCCAGGCUCUACAUUUGUGCUCUCUGAUGUAAGGGUGGGAGCGCAAGCCAACGCCUAAAUGCCAGCCAAAGCACUGCUCUGGCUUACACUUGUCCUUUAAUUUUCAAGUAGACCCAAGUUCCCAUUUCUGUUCCAGUGUUGUUUGAGCACCUCAGUAAAGUCAAGGUGAGAGACGACUGAAUUCUUGAUGAACUGUAUAUUGCUUUACUGUGUGCAAACUUCCAGAGACUCUGAAGGGCUCACUCUCAUUCAAGUUGUACCUUCCCUUCAGGAUUGUUUUGGGUGUUUCAUGUAAUGGUGAUUCUUUCUCCUUUCCUAGAUACUCAGUUUUUGGCUGACAUUUUGUUUUUCUAUGUCUGGGCUACGUGGGAUGGAUAGCAGGAACUGAAGCACGAAUCGAAGCUAAAUCGCUUGAGUAGUGGUGGCUCCACUGCCUUCUCACGGGUGUCUGUGUCCAAAGGGACAGAGAAGUUUUCUUGCAGUUCAGUGGGACAGACGUAUAGGGGUGGCUGACCUUCAGGCUUUGUAGUAAACCAAGAGAAUUCCUACUAAUCCUGGGAAAUCUGCCUUCUUAGCCUGGAGUAGCUUGCCCAUGCUCAAACCUACAUCCUGGUGGGCUCUGUAGGCUCGGCCAGUUCAAGAAGCAAACUGGAGGCAGAGAGAUGUCUUUAUUAUCAGCUGAUGGCUUUUUGCUGUCUUUGGUGUAAACAGUGUAAAGCAAGAACCGUGAAUGCAUGGUAGGCAUGUGAAAUGUCUGAUAAAUGGGAAGAAAUUGUUAUGGGUGGCUCUAGGGAGAGUAUCUGGGAAAGGCAGGAUGACUUUGGCAUUCUGUGGUCAAGUUACUGAAUAAUCCGAGGGCAGACCAGGGGAAUGGAAAGAGGGCAGGAAUCACUUCUAUUCUGGUUUUCUGCUGAUAUAUCAAGCAUGACAGCACUAAACUUAAUAAGGCACUGUGAAAUUUUGGGUAAAACAUUGUACAUGGGUGAAAUGUGCUGCCUACUCGUGAUGGAAAGGCUCGUUUUCCAACAAGGGACUCCAUUGCUGUCACGCUGUUGUGGCUAGUAGAUACCAUGUGCUAUAGAUUUCUGUAGGCAAAAGGUUAAAACCUCCCUUUUCAGGUUCUCUGUAAAAUGGAUCUUGCUUUACCCAGCAGGGGUAAUGUGAGGUUAUGUUUGUUGAUAUUGUUGGGGCCCUCAUCUAUUUUUGGGAGAGUGCCGUGAAAGGUUUGAAUGGGAAGUUCUUUCUGUCAAACCAUACCCAUAAUUAAACCAGUCUGUUUAUUCAUGCCUUCAGGCAGGCUUAUUAUUGUUUUUUCUAGCCUUGAUCUAACAAGUUGUACAAUGUGGUCUGCUACACAUCUGCUGCUCUCUGGGUGCUGGGGAGGGUGGACACCUGGUGCCAGUGGAGGAAGAGGAGUGGAGUGGGAACAGUCGCCUCAUUGGGCAUUUCCUUUGAAGAUAAGGACCCUGCAUGGCCAUUUGUGAAACAUUUCAUUUGAAGCAGCAGCAUGGGUAGGUUUGUUCUGAAGCAGGAGACAUUAUAAAACUGCAGGUUGGCCAAGUGCUUAAUGAGGUUCCAUGGCUUGUGACAGGUGAACUCAUCAGGCAGCAACACUGGCUGCAUCACUGUGCCACACGCUGGUGGUUGCUCUUGGAGACACAUUUGCACAGUGUACCUGGUGCACGUGUUGCUCUUCCUCAGUGUAAGACAAAGACUAGUUCCGUCAUGUCUCGUGGGUCAGACAGGAAAAUUACACAUGUAUUCACAUGCAAGGACCAUGACUGGUUCUGCUCUUCUGAAGUCUGGGAUAGAAAGGGGGAAUGUCUCCCUGUGGACAGUUUGGUAGGAAGGGGAAGCAACCUACUGGAGAUGCCUGAGCACUUCUUCUGCCAGUGUGGACACUUCAGUCUUUGCAAUACAUAAAUCACAGAAAAUGUGUAUGCUUUUCUCAUUGUGUCAAAGCCAGAAAGCCCUGACCCAGCUGGAGGAAAAUAACAAUUUGAACAGAGAUCUCAUCAAGUGAAAUGUUCCAGCUCAUUAGAAAACAACCUACUGUAUGGUUGAAAGGUGCCUGUAAUGCAUAAAAAGAAAUGGCUCACUCUUGCACUGGAAAAUCUGAAGUAGAAUAGGCAGAUGUGACCUCUUCUCUUCAUGCUGGAAAGUUACUGCCAAUUAACUUGGUGUUCUUGCCAUUUUAGAGUGGUUACUGGGCAGUCAGUGAUUUGGGAGCAAGUGUAAAUGUGGCUCAGUUGCUUAUCAAGUUGGAGCAAAGUCUCUUGGGUGGAAGUAUGUGUAAUGAAUGGGAAAGCACAUGAACAAGCAAUAUUGUCUGGCUUUUUAACUGGCAUUUUCCAGGUGUCUGGAAGGCUUGGGAGGGAAGAAUUCCAAGUGAACCAUGUUGCCUGACCCUUGCAUUGAAGGGAAUUAUUGUCUUGUGGGCGAGGUACUGGGAGGGGAGAUCACCUCUUUGUGGUGGGCUGCCAUGUUAGAGGUCUUUUGACUAGGAUGUGGCCUUCGGGAGACAACUCUUUCGUAAGCAAAAGGUAAUUAGGCCCAGCAUCUCUGGUACUGCAGCCUUUCCAGAGAGUGCACCCAACGAGAGAGAAGCUCCUCAGACAAGGAGACAGUGGUAGCAGCGGCUGGAGGGAUCUGCAGUCUGCACGACUAAUUGUCAUGUGCUUCACUCACGAGUGCCUUAAUAUACCUUUUUUCUUCAGCAAAUCCCAUAGCUCUAUAAAAAUAAAGAGGGUCUGUUUCUGAAUGUGAGCUCAGGAGCUCUGAGCAUGGCCUGGAGGUCCCCAGGCUCCCGUAGGCCCUGCCAGGGCAGCCAGAGCCAAGGCCUGGCUUGGGAAGUUGCUCCUUGGCUUAGGGCUCCUGUUUCACAGCAGGACACACAUCAGGCAGAGGCCCUCAGCCCCGAGGCAGGCCAUGCGGGAUGGGAACACUGCAAUAUGUUUAUUUGGCGUGCUUGGACGUGUAGGGACAGACGAAGCAGAUUAAAGUGUAUCACCCAGCAGUGAUAUGCUUCCCAGAGGGGAAGUCUGCCACUUCUCCAGGGAAGCUAUUUCAAUGGUUUAAUUACUCUCUGUGCUGGGAAACAAGCUUUUAUUACAAAGCUGAAUUUGUUUGACUUUGGUUUCUGCCCAUUGGGUCCUAUUUUGACGAACCUUACUCUUGGCUAGCUCUUCCAUGCGCAAGUACCUGUGAGUAUCAGUUGGGUUUAUCCCUUUGUUUUAUUCAGACACAUUAAAUUCUUUAUGUCUGUCUCUGCAGGAAUUGUUCUCCAGGCCCUGAUUUCCUUUCAGCUCUCGUUUAAACUCUUUUCUGUGUUUUCUCAUUCUCUGAAAGUUGACUCUUUGGUCUGGACUCAGUUCUUCUAGGUUAUACAUGCAAAUUCAAGGUUGCUCUUGUGCUGCCUUCCUCUUCAGUCACACAUGAACAGCAUCAGCACUGCAGAUAUCAUGACUCCCAAUCUUUACCUUUUGUCUUGUAAACACAAUAUUGCCUGCAGCCUUGCAUUGUGUUCCGCAGGAGCAGCCCAGCACAGCCCACGCUCUCCCCCGCAGACGGUGCAGACCUGUGGCCAUUGGCACAGCCUGCCAGGUUGCUGUCUCCUACCACGUCUGUUGUCUGCGUGUUUCUAGCCCUCAUGCAAGUGGGAAAGUUCUCCCUACCACCUCAAUUUCACAACAAUUUGCUUUGGAACUUAAUUGAUGUUUAUCAGCAUUAGAAAACGUCUUCAGGCUUGGCAGGGUUUUAGCAGAGUGGGGACACGGGAACUGCUCUCAGUCCUUCUGUGGAGGUUUUACCAAGGUAAAGGUGGAGAAGGGGAUGUGGAGGGGAAGCUGGAUCUGAUACCCACCACGAAGGCAUUUGGUUGCUGCUGGGAUGCCUUGUUUGAGGUGUAUGGGCUUUUAGGAGCAGUUGCAGAGAGGAGCUACUGAACGUGAUUCAAAUCCAACAUGUGCUGUGCUGCUGUCCAGGACCCUUCUCUAGGAUUAAUAUUUUCCUUCACUAUGAGCUUUCUUUUAUUUGGCCACUCACCACAAGAAGUGGUUAACCCCUUGAAAACCCUCCAAAAGUGGAUAAAGUUGCAGGGAUUUGGUAUUUAACUAAAGGUUAAAUUAAUUCAUCUGACCCCCUGUGCAGGGUAACCCACAUGAGCAAAAUCUGGGAGGACCAGAGAAGGGCAGUUGUGGCCUGUGAGACCCAGUUUGCACAUCAGAAUAGUACAUGUCUGAUGGCAAUGAAACAGUGGUGGAAGGAAUAAACAGGUCUCGUUCUUCCCAUCAGUUCCACGUCUCUACUGUCUGCAGUGUCUGAGUCCCACUAAAGCUGCUGGGAUUUCAAUGCAAUACUUGGGCAUGUGCUUGGUUUCUAAUUUCUCAGAUUUAGGAGGGAAUGAAAUGUGAAAUACUGUGGUGGAGAUCUUUCAUUAAAAAAAAUAGCACAGAAACCUGAACCAGAAGACAGGGUAUUUUUUUUUUAGUUUGUGCAAGGUUUAUGUUUUUCUGUUUAAACACAAAUAUUUCUCCUUGACACCCUGCUUGAGGACAAAUAAUGUGAUUGCUCCCUGUGGCUAUGCUGGUUUCCUCAUUUGAGUCUGCUCUUAUAAAUGCAGUCAGAUUAAAAAAUAACCCACCACAAUAAAAACCAUGGCAGACGGUUGGGUGGAGAUGGGACGUUAAACGUUGUGAAGAGCAUGGAAACCCUGUGUCAGCCCAGAGCUUGUGAAGGGAAAACCAUCACUUGGCAGAGACAGCUUAAUAGGCUUGUGAAAUCUGGCACCAUCAAAACCACGAUUUGGGUUUUCUCAAAGCACGGCAGGGGAGCCUUGAGAAUUGACAGCUGUAUUAUCUGUCUUCAGUCGUUCUGAGAGCAACAUCAGGAGCAGGCUGGAAACAGUUCAGAAAAUAAUUUCAUAUUGAGGGUUUGCUGGGGGCAGAAAUGUAUAGGGAAAAUUGAAAUGGAAGAAUUAAUAACAGUAUCAAUAACCUUCCUACAGCAACUAUCAGGCAUGACAUGAAAAUGACUUGAAAGUUGUCAUCUACUGUGUAUUUUAUUCCCAUCAGGAAGGUUUGAGGGAUGAGAGGAGAAUUCAAACAAGGCAAUUAGAAGACUGGAGCGUGUUGGGGAAAGGUGGAAUGGCUGGUGUGUACAAUCUUUCAAUGCGUUUUUCCCUGCCAGACACAGGGGCUGGGCCAAAGUCUGAUAUAGUGGAGCAAAUACUAGAGUGACUCCAGUGUCGCAGUGUCCGCUGGCGUGCACAGGGACAGCCUGUGCAAGACGUUGAUCCUUGCAGCAGAAGACACAACGCAGCUCCUUCUAGAAGUGCAUCCUGGAGGCAGCGGGCUCUGGUGAGGAUUUCUCACUCGCCACCAAAAUCUGCGAGUCUUUGAGUAUGAUUCAAAUUCACUGAAGUCAUUGCCAAGAUUUCCAGUAGUUUUCUGGGCUGUGGACCAACCCUGCUUUGUCCAGUCCAGUUAUGUGGGUGCAGGGGAUGGUUAAACAUCCCACUUUUUUUCUAUCAGUGUAUGUCGACUCUCAGCCAUUUGUACUCAUUUCAUUUUCUCCAAGAUGACUCACAGCCAGGAGUUCACUGUACUUGUCUCAGGCUUUGGGACUUUGGGCUCAAACUGGAACUAUCCACAGCUACUGGAAAAGAGAGCCUGGCAUGUAGGUUAAACCACUUAUAAAUGAUGGCAUGGCUGAGGCAGCCAAGCUCUGUUUCAAAAAGAGACUUAGUCACUUCAGAAAUGAAACCGCACUGAAAAUGUUCCCCUUGACGAGGUCCAAAUGUUUUUCAGACAUUACCUAAGCCAUCAGGCUCUGAUGGGACAGACUGCCGCGAUCCCCUUUGCCAGUUGUGGGUCAUUAAUGUGCAGAGGAGAAGGGAUUCGAUUUUCAGACUAUUCCGGAGACAACGAGUUUCUAUUGCAGUUGGUGUUCAAAGUUAACCUGCAAAUCAUCCAGAAUUGACGGUGGGUUGUGGCCUAUAUAUAGGUAUAUUUUUGCCACAAAACUGGUCAGACUUGCAGUGUUUCCAAGGGAAAAAGGAAGGAGUGGAGCUUGCAGUCUCCAUUUUCUGAAUUAGUGAUUGUAUAUGUGAGAGCUUCAGAAAACUGAUCAGAGAAACUAGCAAAGAAGAAAAACCACUUGCAUGAAUGUAGGGUGAAUGUCAAGGCACCAGCUCAGCUUCAAUAUCUUUUUAUAUGCUGAGGAGAAAAAUGGUACGAGAUAAGCAAGUUAGUUGCUUUAGCAGGAAGUCAUUGCUUUCUCUUUUGCUCUCAGAGCAGUGCCUCUGAAAUUAAUUGGUGACUCCUUCGUAAUGGAGGUAGAUAUAAAUAAAGAGGUUUAUGCUUUGGGAUGGAGCACAGGCACAUGCCUUUUCAAAAGGAAAGUCUCAUUGUAUUCACUGUUCACAGUGUUCGGUGGGUCUACUUGCCAAAAUAACCGGCAGGAACCCGAAGUGAGGAGGGACCUCUGUGGCACCGAGUCUGUCAUUCUAGGUCCUCUCUCCCUCUUGCUUUUCUUCUGUGAUAUGUAGUCGGCUGGGAGUUAUUCAAAGGUACCUUCAGAAGAUCAAAGUCAGAUCCAGUCUUUAUAUAACAGCAUUCAUGCCUCUGCUAUUCAGGUUAUGCAGAUAUUAAUGAGGUGCGUUUUAUAUGGCCUGACAUUCAUGUCUUCUGUUUACUCUAAUGAGAUUGUUCUGCUGUUCCUCUCCUUGUAAUAAGCAACAGAGUCUCCGAGAUCAUGUUCCACAAAGACAUUUUUCCACUUUAGGAUUAGCAAGAGCAGAAGUAGGAAUGAUGAUUUUAACAGGCAUGCGACAUCAGGAUCUUGUGUCUGAUGCCUUCAGAGCGGCGCAUUCUCUGCUGCUUCACCUACUCUAUAUUAUCACAGGUUUCAGGCUAACACACACAUUUCUUGCCCUUUUAUCUCUCUAAUUGUUUUCACAAGUUCAUUAAUGAUUUUGCAAAAGCUGUAGUGAAACUAAAUGACAUGCUCAUAAACCUUUAAAGGAGAAUUCAGCCGUCCGGUGAUGGGAAAAGUCUCAUUAGUCUUUUCAAAUGGCUCCCAGCAGGUUUUCCUGCAGACUCAAACUUGCUAGGUGCAUAAAUAUGCUUCUCUAAUUCAAUUGUCUGUGCUGAUUGUGUGACAACCGAAGUUUGCUCUGCUUCAAGCAGCCACUAAAAUCACCUUUCUAUAGCAGAUGUUCUGAGAGCCAGAACCGGGCUGAAUUCUGAGGGUCUUUUGCAGUCUGUGGACUGUCUUGGGCUAUUGAUGUCACCUACACUUUGUUUCCAAGAAAAUCCUCUUUGGAAAGAGGAUUUUUUGGUAGCUCUCUGGAAAAUCUCUGCGUUUCUCUCUGAGCUUGGAUUAUUGAGGUGAUGAUUAUAUAGUAUUCAUAAAAUAUAGGACAGCGAGGGGGUUUUGCUGGGACAAGGACUCAGCGGGGGCAGAGCAGGAUGGGCUCUGGGUGCAGGGACAUCCAGGGGAGCCAGCCCAGAGGGCUCAGGACCUCUGCAAAGUGCAGGGGACACCCCGAAGUGCCAGGGCAGCACAUCCCCACCCGCCCUCAUCUCAAAGCUGAUCUUUCUAUGCUGAGAGAAUGAUUUUGCAAGUCUUGAGAGUGCUUUCCUUUGAGCUCUUUGAGAUGAGGAUAUUGCUUCCAAACGAACCUUAAUUGAAGUAUUUGAUUUCAGUUUUGUAUGUGGAGCUAAUUUAUGUGACACAAUUAAAAUACAUUUUAUUUAUGCAAUAAGAACUUAGAACUGGAGUAGGUGAUUAAAACAACUGAACAGACUCUUCUGAAACUUUAACUUUGCUAAAAGCAUAAUGAUUCUUUGACAUGAUAUUCUAGUUGAGCAUUUUUGAAAGUAAGUUAAAUAUGAGGAUGCAUUUUAGAUAAACAAUUUACCGCACAAGCUCUAUUUUAUGUCUGACACUAGAGACCUUGAAAGAGUUUUAAUUGGACUAGGCAGGGGAUACUAAUAUAUGUUUUGGGCCUUAUUGCUCAGAGUUGGCUGAAUGAAGUAGAACUGUCUGGUAGUGUCACUCCAAAGGGGUGAAAACCCCCUCUGGCUGUGUUCAUUGUGUGUCACAUUGUCACCUCUCCAUGUAAAGAUACCAGCACCAAAACAACAUUUUCACAUUAGGAAGUGAGCGGUCCUUGGUGACACAGAGAAAAACAAACCUUUUUCCCCAAGGAAGCAAAAUAAGCACAUUCAAACUCAAAACCAGAAACCAAACUGCAUUGAGUUGGGCUCGUGACCGAAAAAUCGCUUGGCUUAGCACACAGCAGAGGCCUGAAACAGCCCUGUAACGCAGCAGCGAGCACAACUGUGAUGUACGUGCCUUGUACAGGCCUCUCUUGCAAAAGGGAUUCAGUGGUAACUCUGUUUUUAAGGCCUCGCUUUGUCUGAGGCUUUGCCUGAAGUUGUAAAUGGCUAUUUCUGGUUGUUAUAACUGACAGCUGUCGUACCCUGCACUUUUGCACAGCGAUGCGUGGAUUGCGGUAAAGUGCAACCGUCAGCCCUGGCUAGCCCAGAACACAACACACGUCUGCUGACAUUUAACCUGAACUCUGCUGAAAAGGGCAAAGACCUUCCCAGCGUUAAUUGCUCAGCUGAAAUAUCUGGGGCUGGAUGCUGCAUACGUGGGACUCUCCUGACCAUGGCAAGCGCUGGCCGAGCGUGGCCAGGCUGUGGAAGGGCUGUUACCCCUCCACAGCCUCUGCGUCUGGGCAGAGCUGGGGAUCCUCCUCCUCUCCUCCCCAGGGCCCACCGGUGCCUCUGUUCCCAUCUGUGCACCCCCAUUAGCUUCAUCAGCUGGAUGGGCUCCCAUCACUUUAUGGUUUCUCUGGGAUCAGAUUGAGAGCUCAGUCAUAGAAUCAUCACAGUAUCACAGUAUGUUUGGGAUUGGAAGUGACCUCAAAAGAUCAUCUAGUCCAAUCCCCCUGCUGGAGCAGGAACGCCUAGGUGAGGUGGCACAGGAACAUGUCCAGGCGGGUUUUGAAUGUCUCCAGAGAAGGAGACUCCACAACCUCCCUGGGCAGCCUGUUCCAGGCUCUGCCACCCUCACCAUGAAGAAGUUUUUUCUCAAAUUUAAGUGGAACCUCUUGUGUUCCAGCUUGAUCCCAUUACUCCUUGUCCUAUCAUUGUUUGCCACUGAGAAGAGCCUGGCUCCAUCCUCAUGGCACUCACCCAGCAGUUCCCUGUCCUUCUUGAACUGAGGGGCCCAGAACUGGACACAAUAUUCCAGAUGUGGUCUCACCAGGGCGGAGUAGAGGGGAAAGAGGACCUCUCUCGAUCUACUAACCACCCUCCUUGUAACACAUCCCAGGUACCAUUGGCCUUCCUGGCCACAAGGGCACAGUGCUGGCUCAUGGUCAUCCUGUUGUCCACCAGGACCCCCAGGUCCCUUUCCCCUACAUUGCUCUCUAAUAUGUAAUUUUCCAUCCUAUACUGGAACCUGGGGUUUUUCCUGCCCAGAUGCAGGACUCUACACUUUCCCUUGUUAAAUUUCAUUAGGUUAUUCCCCGCCUAACUCUACAGCCUGUCCAGGUCUCUGAUGGCAGCACAGCUUCCAGUGUUGGCCACUCCUCCCAGCUUAGUGUCAUCAGCAAACUUGCUGAUAGUACACUCUAUUCCCUCGUCUAAAUCGUUAAUGAAUAUAUUGAAUAAUAUUGGCCCCAGUACUGACCCCUGAGUCAUUUGGUUGGAAGAGACCCUCAAGAUCAUCAUGUCCAACCAUAACCCACCCCUGGCACUGCCCCAUGUCUUGAGAACCUCAUGUCCGUCUGUCCAACCCUCCAGGGAUAGUGACUCCAGCACUGCCUUGGGCAGCCUGUUCCAGUGCCCCACAGCCCUUUUUCCUCGUGUCCAAUCUGAACAUUCCCUGGUGCAACUUGAGGCUGUUUCCAUCUGGUCCAAUGCUUUGCAGAAAGGGAGGCCACAACGAAGUGCUAGUUUCUACAGGUCUCCCAAACUGGAUUUUGUUGGGCUCCAUCUGAAACUGCAGAAACAGGAUGCUAAGUUUCCAUUUUAAAAUCUGUUUGGCCAAUCUGGUUUAUUUCUCAAUGAAUUAUUCAGGGUACUGGAUGAAACUCCUCAAAGUUUGUUGUUGUUGUUGUUGCUGCUGGUUUUUGUUUGUAAAAAUGUUGGAAUCUUGACCUGACUUCUUGGGAUUAACUGGGGAAAGGCAAAGCUCUUCUUUUUCCUAGAACAAAAAAAGUCCACACAAAUCUUUGGAGCCCUCAUUAUCUGAAAGACACAAUUUUCAGUCACUCAUCACUUUGGCUAUUUUAGUAAUUUUUUUUAGUGUCUAGCUUUGAUUCAUUGUUCUCAGUUUCUGUAACAGCAAAUUUCUCCUUUCUGACCACAUAGUUAUGCUGCUGCAUUUGUGUGUGCAAAGUGUUCCGAAAUCUUUGCGUAUGAGGUACAGUUCAGUGGAAAGUCCUUUUGUUACACAUGAGAAAAGAAUUUGCAAUUAAUUAAGUUAUUGGAUGAAUUCCUCCUUUGUUCUGUCUGAAAAUGGCCCGUGAGCAGCUUGUUAAGUUCUCAAACGAUUCAUUACAACAAAUUGUUUGUGAGUUUCUUCCCUAGAUAAUUCCUGGUCUGACCAGAACUAACAGAUCACGAUGUAUGGGUGGAAUUCAUAAUUUCUUAGUUUUUUGAGUGGCUAAUGUAUGGAGAGAGGUUCCUCAUUGAGUGAACGGCAGGUAGCACAAGACAUGACUCAGAACUUGCUCUUGAUCUGUGCUUUAUACUGAGCUGUUGGGCUGUGACCUGAGUUUUCAUUGUUUGGAGGGAGUGAGCCCAAGGAGUAGAAGUCGGCUGUUAACACAGAAGUGAACACUGGCUAAUGAAGAUGGAGGUGUUGGCAUUCAGACUGUUGCUGGUUUGCUCAUCUGUGGUCUCAAUAUCUUUGUUCCCCGUUAAAACCAACUAGGCAGCAUAUGCCACAAUGUUCACUUUGUCAAGAUGUUGGCUGUCCUUCUAGAUUAGUGCAGCUCCCAGACAAACUGCAUCGGCAUCAACAAUUAAUUCAUUCUGCCUCUGUUAAUUAAAAUAAGCUGAGACUAUUGCAUGUUAUCGUGGCUUCUAAAAGCAUACAUGUGUCUAUCAGCCUGUUCCCAUGGCUGAUCUUUGUUGACUGAUGCGUGUUGUGUCUGCAUAAAGGUUGCUAAAUCUGGAGUGAAACAGGAACAACAAUUAGUGACACCCAGAAGAUUUCUUGCUUCUCAGCUGUCCCUGGCUCAGCGGCAGCUUACAGCUCUACCAUCUCUUGUGUGAAACAUUAAAAUUAAAGAGUUGUCCCUUGUUGCUUGGGUGGUGGAGUGAGAACCGAGGCAGGAGUCAGCAGAUGGCACUGUUAGACCCUGCUGGGAGGCAGGGCAGGGACAGCUCUGGAAGGUCUUCUUGGCUCCUCUCCUGGGUGAAUUUCUCCUAAGCGACAGGUGGACCUUUUGUCCCCUUCACCUCUCCUGCCGGGUCUGGUGGUGAGGCGGGGGAAUGCGUCACUCGUGUUUCAGCAGGACUUCCUGCUGGAAGGGUCCGACCUCUGACCGUGCUUUGCCACCUCUGCUCCGGGACCAAGUCAGACAAGGCAGCUGGCAUCAGCUCCACAGACACCUUCCUCCGUGCAAGACAACCGAUGAAAGUGCCUGGCUGGGCUGCAGGAGGACAGGAGGUGACAUUUCAGUUUUGAUUUCUGUGCAGGUCACUGGGGCGUGUUUGAGAGCCGAGGCUGCGAGGGACCAGCAUGGGGACAGCACGCUGUGCAGAUAGGCACCGGGCUUUUCUGGGCAAGCCUGGCUUGUUCUGAGUGGCAGAAACUCUCUGAUACUUCAGAACUGCAAUAUGAUCUUAUGAAGAAGAGCCAGUUCUGCACUGCUGCUGAGAUAGCCUCAUUUCCUAAGGGCUGGUUCCUAGAAAACUAACCUGUAUUGCUGUGAAUUGAGGAUUUGUGGUUUAACGGUUAUCAUGGGAGCAGCUCCUGGAAUCCCUCUGCACAGUCACCAUCCUGCACAGGCUCUUCUCUGAGCAAUGCCUUUGUUCCAGUUCAGGAGCAGACACCGAGCUUGACAUCACGUUCAUCUGUCCCUGCACUGCAAUAGUGUCAGCAACAUUCAGUACGUUGGGGAUUUUUGACUGCUGACUUUCAAUGACAUCUGGAGCAAUCUCCAUGGCCAAUGUGAGAUACUCCUCUGUGCUAAAGAAUAUAAAAAAACACUGUUGCAUUUAAUAUAUUAGAGUAUAUGAGACACAGCAGCAGUUUGUGUAAUUUAUUGGGAAGACAACAAUGUUCCGUAGCCUGUUCUGUAAAUAUAAGCAUGAACAAAUCAUGCUGCAUCCCACUGUAAAUUUCCUUUGAUGCUAAAGUGUCUAAAUUAAUAAAUGCAGCAAUAAUGGAUUAAUUCAAACAAUCAGUUCUAUCACAAGCUACUUGGUCAUUAAGACGGGGCACACUUGGCUGCUCUGACAAGGAUAUAGCACUGCAAAUGAUGGUGACAUGGGACAGAACCACAUCACUUAGGGUAUGGCCUGAAGCCCUGGAGUUUGCAGGACGUGGUUAGUCCCGGGGAGGCUGGAGAAAGGGGCUGACUCAGUUUAUGUACUGUAGACCACCCUCUCUGCACCACUUCUGAAUCUAUUAGCGGCAACCACUCCUUGGCCUCACUUUUUAAAGAUGUAUCAGGCACAAUAUAGGUGAUUCCUGUGUUGUAGUAUCUGAAUUGUCUUGUCUUGGAUCCUUAUUCACUUUUACUGUCUUCUUUGUAUCUGGAGGGUGGGAACAGGGAGAAUUGCUCUCAGUUUCUUUGGACAGAUUACCGAACAGUGAGAAACGAACACGCAUUUUUAAAACCACUAUUACUUUUUGCCUGUGAUGAGGCUGACAGAAAAGCUGGCUGAUGGGAGGCAGCGUGGCGUGUCUGUUAGCACAUCUCGUACAAAGUUUGAUGUAGCCAGCUGGCAAACACCAGCGCCUCUCCUGAGCUCAUAGCUUACCCUGUUUGUGUUGACAUUUCUGGCAAGGAAAGGUAAAGAGUUAUUCCAGCUGCAAUAACCUGUGAGGUCUCUCUUUGUGUUUCUCUUAAUUUGCCUGAAAUUAAAGUCUCACUCAGCAGGAGCGAUUCACAUGCCAGCAUUUGCCAGUGUUAGCACUGCCUGAGGGGACGUGCAGCAGGAGGAUGCUGUGGGAGAUGGCACCUGAUCUGCUCCCAGUUCCGUAACUGCAUACAAAUCCACACAGCUUACACCUCCCUUUCCUCACUCCUAAAACCUGACUUUGUUUUGACCUGGCUCUCUCCAAACACGGCACAGUGCUGCAGUCCCCAUGUGGGCCCUGCGUGUUGCAGGAGAGGCAGGUGUGGGGAUGUUCAAGGAGCUCCUGGAGAACAGGAGGCUGAGGGGAGACCUCUCUCUCUACGACUGCCUGAAAGAAGGUUGGAGCAUGGAGGGCAUUGGGCUCUUCUCUCAAGUAGCAAGUGCCAGGACCAGAGGAAACGGCCUCAAGUUGCGCCAGGAGAGGUUGAGGUUGGAUCUGGGAACAAUUUCUUCCCCAAAGGGCUGUGGGGCAUUGGAACAGGCUGCCCAGGUCAGUGCUGGAGUCACCAUCCCUGGAGGGCUGGACAGAUGGACUUGAGGUUCUCAGGACACGGGGCAGUGCCAGGGGUGGGUUGUGGUUGGGCUCGAUGAUCUUGAGGGUCUCUUCCAGCCAAAAUGAUUCUUUGAUUCUAUAAAUGAGUAUCUUGGCCACAUGUCCUUGCACAGGGACUUGCCGGUUUAGCAGGGAGGGCUCUCUGCUCCCAUGUCUGUCACCCUUCUCAGCCCAUUCACAGCAUUCUGUGCUUGUGCUGUUUGCACUUUGGAGUCAAUUGGGAUUGUUUUUUAUUGCUCGUUUGGUGUUAACUGCUAGAUAACAUAGAGAAGCUUCACCUGAACUUUUGCCCAAACACAAGGGAUGUUGCUGAUGGGCAAAGGCUGUGUAAAAACACUCUGAACUCUGAAGAAGCUGACGGUGGUUUCCUUUGAACUAUCAGAGUCCAUUUCAGCUUCAGAUGCCUUCGCACACAGCCCUAGACUUUAUCGUUACUAUUGAGGUCUCUGGGCCUAACUCUCUUUUCCUGCCAGACUUACCCUGAGCUGAGAUUGGAAUGAUUUUCCUCUUGAUUGUUACAUGUCAGAGAAAGACCCAAAUCUGAUUUCCAACAUGAACCUAGUAUAUAUAUCAAAACAAAACCAGAACCAAAAAAAAAAAAAAAGAAAACAAGCCCAAACUGACAGGUCUUUUGCAAUACAGUGGAAAUAUAGGGCAAAAUUGGUUGGAGUUAUUAGGAAGCUUUGCUUUCAUUGCAAUGGUCUUUGGAUAGAGGGUAUAAUGGCAUGGCAUUUUGUCUUAGCAUAUGAAGUCUUAUUAAAAAUAUAGAGUGGAUGUGGGAUAUUAGACUGCUUUUUAAAUGAUAAAAGAGCCAGUGCUGAUGUCUGAAGAACAUUUUAUUUCAUUUUAAAUAGAUGCCAGAAAAAAAAUCUACUGUUUUAGCAAUCCAAAUUUUGCUGAACAUAGUUCUGAUUAAAUACUUUGUCCUUUGAAUUGCUGCUGUGGUUUAGGUGGAAUACAUCAAGUAGUUCUGUCAUUAUCUGAUGUUCUUUAAUAGACUUAACUGGAGCCUUAUUUAUGGAUCAAAUAUAUGGGCCAAAUAGCAGUAAGAAAUCCUUCUUCUUUCUGACAAGAUGAUGUACAUACCAGACUUUCUCAGCUGAGGAAGUGCAUUCACAUAUAGGUAUAAGCCUCAUGUCAACCUCUUCCAUUUUCCCCACCCCAAGAAAGGAAAGGAUACUUGUUCUUCCUACCAUGUUGGAUAUGUUGUAGAGGUUGGUGGACAGUACACAUGCUCCUGCAUACGUGCAAUAGUAAGGCCAUGAUAGCACUAGUUAAAAAGUCCACAAUUAAAACUUUAGAAGAGGAAAAUGCUUAAAAAGUGGCGAAGCAUCAAGGCUCUGAGGAAGAAAGUUCUGUCUUAACUCCUUGGCGUUUUUAGCCAAGCAGAUGUUUGGGGAUGGCAAGUCUUCCUGAAAACUUAUUGAUAAGACCAGCUAAAUAAAUGUAUAUAGUUUCAAAGUCAAUUUUUCUCCAUCUCCCCCACAAAAAUAGUUCUUGUUGAUCUUUCUCUUAUUAAGCAAGUUUGUCAGGAGAUUAGAUGCAACACAGUAGUUAAUUGCCAAAUUUAUUACAUAUUAAGGAACUAGUUAUCUAAAAAAGAAGUCCUCCAGACACCUGUUAAGUUCUGGAGAGGGCAUUUUCUCAUUGCGUAAGAGGUAAACUUCAGUUUGAAUCAAUAGUUAGUGUUCAGUAGCAGGGUCCCAGGAGGUGUGUGAGUUAUUGAUAAGAGGGUUUAGUUGUCUUUGUUUCAAGUAUUUUGUUAUUUGUAUCUCUGAGUCCCCCCAAAGCAGUAAAUUGUCAGACUUGGUUGAAGUGUUAGUAGUUCUGCUGUCAAAUCUAGUGGAUCAGGUUGUGUGGCUCCUCAAACAAGUUUGAAAGCCUUCACACCUUCAUGUGUCGCUGCUGGGAGCCUUUGUCAAAACCAUCUGAUGUGAUGUUGACGUUAGAGUUGUAAAAGAGAAGAAACAACUCUUAAUGCUGACAGCAUGGGAUGCUAUGAUGCUGAAGCAAUGGACUGAAUCGUGGUAUGAGUGAUUUGUAAACAUAUAAAGGUCUAUGUUUUCCAUGUUUGGGUGGGACCUCUGCGCAGGUACCUAGCUUGAGCAGCAUUUGGCUUGGCAUAUUUCCCUCAUGCUAAAAUAAUAGAGUGAACCCACCACCAAACUCUUUUAAGUCGCACUUCUCUUUAAGAAAUCUAAACAUUGUUCUGCCGUAAGCAGAACCCCCCGCGACAGCAACCUUGGAUAACCGAGAGGCCGGAAGAUGAGAGCCACUGCUUCUGUCGUUCCCACGAUCUUGUCAGCCCUUGGAAGCCACUGGUGGCAGGUACUGGCUCAAUCCGUGCUGGACCACACCAGUGCGAGAGCUGAGGGGCAGAUCCAUGUGCGAGCAAGUUGUGAUGGACCAUGCAGAGAGUUGCUGGAAAUUGCUUUGUGAAUCCUUUUUUCUCUCUGGCAUGAUAAGUAAACAAAAAUAAUGUCUCGUCCUUGAGAGCUGACAAUGUGCCUUCACAGAGAGGAGAGGAAAUUACAAAAUUAAAGGAGACCCAAAAGAUUUCACUCUCUUGCCAGCAUCCUAUGUUUCCUUAGGCUUUGCUCCAGAGCUUGCAUUGUCUGUACUGUUAAUAAUACUCUGUUUUCCCCUGGAAGCCAGCUAGUUUUAUAUUCUUGCCUCUGUUUAAAAAUGUGACCUUUAGCUUUUGAGCUUUCAUAAUUGCUGUUAAUCUGUUCAAUAAGGAAAAACAAUAGAAAGGGCAAAAAUUAUAAUCUGGUCUGUCUGACUUCAGGCUUUGACCCUAGCAUUUUCUCUUUCAGAAGCGCAUCUCCCCCACCCUUGGGAAUGCUGUCCCUGCCUGGGGUGCUCGUCCUGUGUGCACCCGCUGAAGCCUGUGGAGAAGCAAACAGGCUUCCUCUUGUUUCUAAUUAGGCCUCAGUGUCCUGCCCUUCCCACUGCCUUUUUGACCUGCUAUUUGUAUUCGGGAGCCACAACCUCCUGCACCCAGGAGGCCCCUUGGUGUCAGGCGUUCCCUGGAGCUGUGCCUGGGGUCUGGCUUUACUAUUCAGAACCUCAGACUCAGUCAAUGCAAGAUGCUAGUCCUGUGAUCAAAGCUGACCCUAAACUACCUUGUACUUUCUUGUAUGCCUUGCAAUUUCAGAGAAAAAUGCAUAGUUUUAAAACUCCAGAUAUCUGAGUGACGGGAAGUUGGUUUUUCAACCCUUUUCAAGUAGUUUCACUCUGUCACUUCUCCCAAGGUGGCUGCAGACCAGUCUUUGUCCAUCAAGAGUCCCACUUCCAAAACACCUUGUAUUAUAAUACAGAACAAAGUGAACAAAUAUUGAAGAGAAAGCUGGAGGCCAGAAGAAAAUGCCUUUUCUCUCAUCUUAGCCAUGCAUACCAUGAAAGCAUCUUUCCAGCACCUAGUGCUUGUGUAAGUCUCCUCUUUAAUGCCUGAAAGCUCUGCUUGCCUCUGCCUUGCUGGCUGACUGAACUUGGGCUGCCUGUGUCUCCUUCCAGGAUAACAGCCAGGAAAUUAUUACAGUGCAAUUUAAAGACCAUAAAACACAGGACGAGCAGAUGGCAGGUCACGUCUCCUUCCCAUGAACAGCCUAUGUCACUGUGGCACUGCCCCAGCGCAUGCUGAGCCAAGCUUACCAAGUCCAAACAAGAAGCAUCAGCAGCGGAAAUGAUGUCUGUCAAGGCAACAUCCCACCAGCACAGACCUUACGACUGUGACAAAGAAUUUGGGCAUUGGCAAGAAGCUUUAGUGACAAUGAACUCCAAAUACCUGCUGCUAAGAUAAUCACAAUGAUCUGUCUGCCAGCUUUUUCCUAAUGUGCAUUUUCUAAUUCAUUGUGGGAGGCAAAAUCCUUUGACUGGUGGAAUGAAGACGUGGCACUGUGACUAUAAUUUACAUUGUUAAAUAACUGGAAGGAGCAGCUAUCAAAAGCUGGAAAUCCUACCCGAAGCAGAAUGGCUGCCUUCACAGAUUAUUCCUUCUUUUUUUUUUUUU
Columba livia (rock pigeon) is the source of this 20355-nucleotide long non-coding RNA. RefSeq lists it as uncharacterized. NCBI's taxonomy places the organism in Eukaryota, Metazoa, Chordata, Aves, Columbiformes, Columbidae. The transcript is spliced from 2 exons. The record is from RefSeq and is a predicted model, not a curated record.